UGGGGAAUUUUGGACAAUGGGGGCAACCCUGAUCCAGCCAUUCCGCGUGUGUGAUGAAGGCCUUCGGGUUGUAAAGCACUUUUGGCAGAGAAGAAAUGGCACGGGCUAAUAUCCUGUGUCGAUGACGGUAUCUGCAGAAUAAGCACCGGCUAACUACGUGCCAGCAGCCGCGGUAAUACGUAGGGUGCAAGCGUUAAUCGGAAUUACUGGGCGUAAAGCGUGCGCAGGCGGUUCGGAAAGAAAGAUGUGAAAUCCCAGGGCUCAACCUUGGAACUGCAUUUUUAACUCCCGGACUAGAGUAUGUCAGAGGGGGGUGGAAUUCCACGUGUAGCAGUGAAAUGCGUAGAGAUGUGGAGGAACACCGAUGGCGAAGGCAGCCCCCUGGGAUAAUACUGACGCUCAGGCACGAAAGCGUGGGUAGCAAACAGG
RNAcentral lists this ribosomal RNA (429 nucleotides) under uncultured bacterium. RNAcentral describes it as "bacterial SSU rRNA". It matches the Rfam family "Bacterial small subunit ribosomal RNA", at positions 355 to 776 of the family's 1533-position model. The record is from RNAcentral.